RNAcentral lists this ribosomal RNA (253 nucleotides) under uncultured bacterium. RNAcentral's name for it is "partial 16S ribosomal RNA". It matches the Rfam family "Bacterial small subunit ribosomal RNA", at positions 524 to 776 of the family's 1533-position model. The record is from RNAcentral.
UACGAAGGGGGCUAGCGUUGCUCGGAAUCACUGGGCGUAAAGCGCACGUAGGCGGAUUGCUAAGUCAGGGGUGAAAUCCUGGAGCUCAACUCCAGAACUGCCUUUGAUACUGGUGAUCUUGAGUCCGGGAGAGGUGAGUGGAACUGCGAGUGUAGAGGUGAAAUUCGUAGAUAUUCGCAAGAACACCAGUGGCGAAGGCGGCUCACUGGACCGGUACUGACGCUGAGGUGCGAAAGCGUGGGGAGCAAACAGG